RNAcentral lists this ribosomal RNA (242 nucleotides) under uncultured bacterium. Its description in RNAcentral is "partial 16S ribosomal RNA". It matches the Rfam family "Bacterial small subunit ribosomal RNA", at positions 104 to 334 of the family's 1533-position model. The record is from RNAcentral.
CGGGCGGGACGGGGUGGUGUAACGCGUGGGUAACCUGCCUCAUACAGGGGGAUAACAGUUAGAAAUGACUGCUAAUACCGCAUAAGACCACGGUACCGCAUGGUACAGUGGUAAAAACUCCGGUGGUAUGAGAUGGACCCGCGUCUGAUUAGGUAGUUGGUGGGGUAACGGCCUACCAAGCCGACGAUCAGUAGCCGACCUGAGAGGGUGACCGGCCACAUUGGGACUGAGACACGGCCCAA